CGGACGGGUGAGUAACACGUGAGCAACCUGCCUUUCAGUGGGGGACAACAGUUGGAAACGACUGCUAAUACCGCAUAACGUGCCGGAAGGGCAUCCUUUUGGUACCAAAGAUUUAUCGCUGAAAGAUGGGCUCGCGUCUGAUUAGAUAGUUGGUGAGGUAACGGCCCACCAAAGCAACGAUCAGUAGCUGGUCUGAGAGGACGACCAGCCACACUGGGACUGAGACACGGCCCAGACUCCUACGGGAGGCAGCAG
RNAcentral lists this ribosomal RNA (255 nucleotides) under uncultured bacterium. RNAcentral's name for it is "partial 16S ribosomal RNA". It matches the Rfam family "Bacterial small subunit ribosomal RNA", at positions 99 to 354 of the family's 1533-position model. The record is from RNAcentral.